GCUACCGCCCGUCUUGAAACACGGACCAAGGAGUCUAGCGUAUGUGCGAGUCAAAGGGCUCUAAAAUUUUAUUCUAAUAAACCCCACGGCGUAGUGAAAGCGAAUUGUGACCCGGUAAAACGGAGCAGUUUGAGGCGGCUGUGAAUCCUAGGAUGAUCGGUCCGACCUAGAGCACAUACGCUAGGACCCGAAAGAUGGUGAUCUUUGCCUGGGUAGGAUGAAGCCAGGGGAAACCCUGGUGGAAGUUCGAAGCGUUGCUGACGUGCAAAUCGCUCGUCAAACCUGGGUAAAGCGACUAAAGAUCCAUCGAACCAUCUAGUAGCUGGUUCCCUCCGAAGUUUCUCUCAGGAUAGCUGACCGACGAUAUGUGUUGUUGUGGGCGGUAGAGCGAAUGACUAGCAUGUUAGGGGAGUGACCCUCCUCUGGAUGAUUCUCAAACUCUGAAUGCCCAUGCGUAAAGAGACUGGGGGCGUAAUUGCCCUGGACCUAAUCUCACACAUUGAAAAACGUCGGUCGUGUGGGCCAUUUUUGGUAAGCAGAACUGGCGAUGCGGGAUGAACCGCACGUAUGUCUAAGGCGCUAAAAUGCCCGCUCAUAGACCCCAAAAAAGGUGUUGAUCCAUCUAGACAGCAGGACGGUGGCCAUGGAAGUUGGAAUCCGCUAAGGAGUGUGUAACAACUCACCUGCCGAAUGGGUUGGCCCUGAAAAUGGAUAGCGCUAAAGCGGGCUGCCGAUGGCAUACCAUUUGGACCCGAAAGAUGGUGAAUUCGCAAAUCAAACUGCUUCUAAGAAAUUUAAUAUUCUAUUGAUUUUCAUAGAAUACUCACAUAACUAAAAAAAAACACGAAUCCAAAUGAGUAGGAGGGCGUGGAGGUUGCGUCGAAGCGUGCGGGGUAACCUGGCGUGGAGCGGCCUCUAGUGCAGAUCUUGGUGAUAGUAGCAAAUAUUCAGGUGAGACCCCUGAAGGAUGAAGCGGGGAAGGGUUCCAUGCGAACAUUGCUUGUCCAUGGGUGAGCCGUACCUAAGCCUAGUGGUCAUGGCUGCUAAAAGGCGAAAGGGAGGCAGGUUGAUAUUCCUGCGCUCGGAUGUAGUUGAAUGCGGUGACGCACUUCUUUGGGGUGGUGAAAUCGGUGGACUCGCUGGGCAGAGUUUUCUUCUCUGUUUGACGCGUACCGCGCUGUGUGGAGGCCGCUUGUCGGGAGAAGCACGCGUGAUGAGGCAGAGCUCCGCGAGAUAUUUGUGGGGUCCGGCUCGAGACCAUCGGUCCUUGAAAAACCAUCUGCUGGGUCGUAGGGGUGGGGGCAGACAUUUAGUUGUCUGUGCUCACGCUAAUCCCUGCGGAUUGUAAGAAAAACAA
This 1357-nucleotide ribosomal RNA is filed under the name Martensia cf. fragilis. RNAcentral describes it as "LSU rRNA". It matches the Rfam family "Eukaryotic large subunit ribosomal RNA", at positions 641 to 1856 of the family's 3401-position model. Lineage: Eukaryota; Rhodophyta; Florideophyceae; Ceramiales; Delesseriaceae. The record is from RNAcentral.